AUUUAAAUAGCUUAUAUUAUAAAGUAUAAUAUUGAAGAUAUUAAGAAAAUUAAAUUAAAUUUUUAAAUA
RNAcentral lists this transfer RNA (69 nucleotides) under Pheidole taipoana. RNAcentral describes it as "tRNA-Phe". The record is from RNAcentral. Lineage: Eukaryota; Metazoa; Arthropoda; Insecta; Hymenoptera; Formicidae.